RNAcentral lists this transfer RNA (73 nucleotides) under Firmicutes bacterium CAG:114. It matches the Rfam family "tRNA". Rfam says of the family: Transfer RNA (tRNA) molecules are approximately 80 nucleotides in length. The record is from Rfam by way of RNAcentral. Lineage: Bacteria; Bacillati; Bacillota.
CGCGGAGUAGAGCAGUUGGUAGCUCGUCGGGCUCAUAACCCGGAGGCCGCAGGUUCAAGUCCUGUCUCCGCAA